Molecule: ribosomal RNA, 406 nt
Filed under: uncultured bacterium
Lineage: Bacteria
Description: partial 16S ribosomal RNA
Rfam family: Bacterial small subunit ribosomal RNA
Source: RNAcentral
AUUGAACGAUGGCGGCAGGCCUACCACAUGCAAGUCGAACGAGUGGCGGACGGGUGAGUAAUGUCUGGGAAACUGCCCGAUGGAGGGGGAUCACUACUGGAAACGGUAGCUAAUCCCACCUACCAUAGGCUGUGCCCAGAUGGGAUUAGCUAGUAGGUGGGGUAACGGAGACCCUAGCCGACGAGCCCUAGCUGGUCUGAGAGGAUGACCAUCCACACUGGAACUGAGACACGGUCCAGAAUCCUACGGGUGGCAGCAGUGGGGAAUCUUGCACAAUGGGCGAAAGCCUGAUGCAGCCAUGUCGCGUGUAUGAAGAAGGCCUUCGGGUUGUAAAGUACUUUCAGCGAGGAGGCGUUACUCGCAGAAGAAGCACCGGCUAACUACGUGCCAGCAGCGGCGGUAAUAC